Molecule: ribosomal RNA, 286 nt
Filed under: uncultured bacterium
Lineage: Bacteria
Description: partial 16S ribosomal RNA
Rfam family: Bacterial small subunit ribosomal RNA
Source: RNAcentral
CUCCCCCUACGGGGCGCAGCAGUGGGGAAUAUUGCACAAUGGGGGAAACCCUGAUGCAGCGACGCCGCGUGAGUGAAGAAGUAUUUCGGUAUGUAAAGCUCUUUCAGCAGGAACGAGACAAGACGGUACCUGACUAAGAAGCCCCGGCUAACUACGUGCCAGCAGCCGCGGUAAUACGUAGGGGGCAAGCGUUAUCCGGAUUUACUGGGUGUAAAGGGAGCGCAGGCGGCCUGCCAAGUCUGGUGUGAAAACCCGGGGCCCAACCCCGGGCCUGCAUUGGAAACUG